GAGGUUGUUCCCUAGAGGAGUGGCUUUCGGAGCUAACGCGUUAAGUAGACCGCCUGGGGAGUACGGUUGCAAGAUUAAAACUCAAAUGAAUUGACGGGGGCCCGCACAAGCGGUGGAGCAUGUGGUUUAAUUCGAUGCAACGCGAAGAACCUUACCUACUCUUGACAUCCAGAGAAGCCGGAAGAGAUUUUGGUGUGCCUUCGGGAGCUUUGAGACAGGUGCUGCAUGGCUGUCGUCAGCUCGUGUUGUGAAAUGUUGGGUUAAGUCCCGCAACGAGCGCAACCCUUAUCCUUAAUUGCCAGCACUACGGGUGGGAACUUUGGGGAGACUGCCGGUGAUAAACCGGAGGAAGGUGGGGACGACGUCAAGUCAUCAUGGCCCUUACGAGUAGGGUUACACACGUGCUACAAUGGCGUAUACAGAGGGCGGCGAGCUAGCGAUAGUGAGCGAAUCCCAAAAAGUGCGUCGUAGUCCGGAUUGGAGUUUGCAACUCGACUCCAUGAAGUCGGAAUCGCUAGUAAUCGUGGAUCAGAAUGCCACGGUGAAUACGUUCCCGGGCCUUGUACACACCGCCCGUCACACCAUGGGAGUGGGCUGCAAAAGAAGUAGGAUAACCUUUAGGGGGACGCUUACCACUUUGUGGUUCAUGACUGGGGUGAAGUCGUAACAAGGUAGCCCUAGGGGAACCUGCGGCUGGAUCACCUCCUU
This 708-nucleotide ribosomal RNA is filed under the name uncultured Gammaproteobacteria bacterium. RNAcentral describes it as "bacterial SSU rRNA". It matches the Rfam family "Bacterial small subunit ribosomal RNA", at positions 820 to 1532 of the family's 1533-position model. The record is from RNAcentral. Lineage: Bacteria; Pseudomonadati; Pseudomonadota; Gammaproteobacteria.